This 451-nucleotide ribosomal RNA is filed under the name uncultured bacterium. RNAcentral's name for it is "bacterial SSU rRNA". It matches the Rfam family "Bacterial small subunit ribosomal RNA", at positions 335 to 798 of the family's 1533-position model. The record is from RNAcentral.
ACUCCUACGGGAGGCAGCAGUGGGAAUAUUGCACAAUGGGCGCAAGCCUGAUGCAGCGACGCCGCGUGAGGGAUGACGGCCUUCGGGUUGUAAACCUCUUUCGCCAGGGACGAAGCGCAAGUGACGGUACCUGGAGAAGAAGCACCGGCCAACUACGUGCCAGCAGCCGCGGUAAUACGUAGGGUGCGAGCGUUGUCCGGAAUUACUGGGCNUAAAGNGCUCGUAGGUGGUUUGUCGCGUUGUUCGUGAAAACUCACAGCUUAACUGUGGGCGUGCGGGCGAUACGGGCAGACUGGAGUACUGCAGGGGAGACUGGAAUUCCUGGUGUAGCGGUGGAAUGCGCAGAUAUCAGGAGGAACACCGGUGGCGAAGGCGGGUCUCUGGGCAGUAACUGACGCUGAGGAGCGAAAGCGUGGGGAGCGAACAGGAUUAGAUACCCUGGUAGGUCAGU